This is a long non-coding RNA of Oncorhynchus tshawytscha (Chinook salmon), 751 nucleotides long. The record is from Ensembl. Lineage: Eukaryota; Metazoa; Chordata; Actinopteri; Salmoniformes; Salmonidae.
GUUUAAAUAAAGACAAUAUUUGUAAAGAUAAAAACGUAUAAGUGUAAGUAUGUCUAAGUAUUUCUGAACAAUAGUAAAUUCUGAAGGACAGAGUAUGUGAAUUAAUACCAGAAAGUAUAUAUUACUAGUUAGUAGAACUGCUACUUGAGCUGAGUUGCUGACAGACAGCAGUUUUCAAAGUGUAAACUAAUCAGUAGACCCACAUGUUAUCAGUAACACGUCUGGUAAAGAUGGUGGAGGAGCUUUUCAAUGAUAUGGUUUUAUGUUUAUCUCAGGGUUUCUCCAUCCUUUUGUUCUUACCAGCACUUACACACCUGAUUCAACUAAUCAUCACAUAUUUUAAGACAGUUUAAUAUUUGAGGCAUACAAAUGAACAUUCUCAAAUUAAAACCUUUUGGAUUUGGUAAACCUGUUAACAAUUAUUAAAGGCCUACAGUAAUGUAAGAGAGACGUCUCGAAGAAGGACUAUACAUUUUUUUGAAGCAAGAUGCGGCACAAUGUCAUGAUUUACUGCUGUCGCAUGAAGCUGACUGUUAGCGCCACCCUCUGGUUACUGUUGUUAUGUGAAGGGGUGACGCCUUGACUGCAGUUGAAAUUGAAAACAGAAAGUAUCUGUACAGGGCCAUUUUGAGAUGACAGAGCAGCUCAUAGUUGAAUCUCUAAACUGCAACGCAGUUUCACAGUAAAGUGAGUAUUUCAGGUUAAUAAUCUAGAAUAAAGUAGAGGGGACAUGUGGAAUACAGUAAACUAG